UUACAUCAUGGAUUAUAUAUUUAGUGAAGUCAAGAGGGUGAUUCAAUUUUAAAACCACACAAAAAGGAAUGGAAAGAAUACUGGAGUCCAGGUGUACGCAGGCUCUAUAAGAAUCAGAAACAAAAGCGAGGGAACUUGAUUGAUUUUGCUCCAACAAUUUAUAAACGGUCAACUGGUGAUGAGCAAUCACAGCUAUGCAUUUGUGUUCAUGGUAGAUGGAUCCCAACGAUGAGAUACUUUAUGUCUUUGUCAAAGAGAGAGAUCUAGACACAUGGAUUAUAUUCUAGGCUUCAAGCCUAAUUGCUCAUCACAACAAAAUAAAAA
This 324-nucleotide long non-coding RNA is filed under the name Theobroma cacao (cacao). RNAcentral's name for it is "long non-coding RNA (TCAC_LNC005992)". Lineage: Eukaryota; Viridiplantae; Streptophyta; Magnoliopsida; Malvales; Malvaceae. The record is from RNAcentral.